This is a non-coding RNA of Leptonychotes weddellii (Weddell seal), 653 nucleotides long. The record is from RefSeq and is a predicted model, not a curated record. Lineage: Eukaryota; Metazoa; Chordata; Mammalia; Carnivora; Phocidae.
GACAGCCUGAGACCUCCUGGAGGCAAAAUUGUCACUUGCAGUUUCCUUAAAUCUGAGGUGUGCAAAGACAGUGCGUUUGGUGGGGGGAGCCCGGCCCCAGCGCGCUGCCUGGAGCCGGAGACCCACCCCAUCGUCCUCUCGCCUCCCGUUGGGCACCAGGGCUGGAUGGGAGCUCUUCCCAGCACCCGCCGUUGUCUGUGCAUUGGGAUGGCAGUUUCUAGGGUGACCACGAGGAGGCAGACGGCAGUUAGCUUUCACUCAGGGCUCCCUACAAGGUCUCCACUGCCAAGAACGGAUGAGCAUGCACAGAGACAGAUCGUGAUGGGUAAUUGGAGGUGUCGACUCGGCUGAGCUAAGGGCUGACAUAAGAGGAAGGUUCUCGGGCCUUGGACCUCAGACUGAAGGACCCCACGGGCUUUCCUUGUUCUCCAGCCUGCAGAUGGCAGAGGCCUCAUGAGCCAAGUCCUGGAAUAAAGCUCUCCUCUAUGUCUGUAUGGAUCCUGUAAGUUCCCGCUUUCUCUGCAGAACCCUAACACAGACGGUACCACCAAUAUCAACGGAGUUGGUGGAAAUAGUGAAAUGUGGAGCUGGGAGGCCCCUGGGUGGUCAGUCAGUGGAGCGGCCAACUCUUGAUUUCUGCUCAGGUCAUGAUC